Long non-coding RNA from Haliotis rufescens (red abalone), 347 nucleotides. RefSeq lists it as uncharacterized. The transcript is spliced from 3 exons. Lineage: Eukaryota; Metazoa; Mollusca; Gastropoda; Lepetellida; Haliotidae. The record is from RefSeq and is a predicted model, not a curated record.
UAAUGAAGUCAGCAAUCUUCACUUCGAAGGUUUCUCGCUGGAAGCCUGUCGGCGGUACGGAUUUGACCUGGACAACGGACACAGCAUUGGUUUCAAGAAUAUGCAGAUUUAAAACACUGGUGGUUAUGGAAUCCACUGCUCUGGUGACUGUCGGUCUGGGACGGUCUCUAUGUCUGAGAUACAUCACACCUGUGGAGGAAUCGCAAUCGCAGGUGGUGACCGGAAAACACUGGCACCUUCUGGUAACCUGAUAGAAGACAACCACAUCUGGCAGUAUGCACGUGUAGGGGCCGUGGGUUACAACGCCAUCAGUCCUGGAGGGGUGGGGAUAUCCAUGCGCUACAACC